UAUGUUGGGUGCAAGCGUUAAUCGGAAUUACUGGGCGUAAAGCGUGCGCAGGCGGUUUUGUAAGUCUGUCGUGAAAGCCCCGGGCUCAACCUGGGAAUUGCGAUGGAGACUGCAAGGCUUGAAUCUGGCAGAGGGGGGUAGAAUUCCACGUGUAGCAGUGAAAUGCGUAGAGAUGUGGAGGAACACCGAUGGCGAAGGCAGCCCCCUGGGUCAAGAUUGACGCUCAUGCACGAAAGCGUGGGGAGCAAACAGG
This 253-nucleotide ribosomal RNA is filed under the name uncultured bacterium. RNAcentral's name for it is "partial 16S ribosomal RNA". It matches the Rfam family "Bacterial small subunit ribosomal RNA", at positions 524 to 776 of the family's 1533-position model. The record is from RNAcentral.